RNAcentral lists this ribosomal RNA (909 nucleotides) under Debaryomyces hansenii. Its description in RNAcentral is "LSU rRNA". It matches the Rfam family "Eukaryotic large subunit ribosomal RNA", at positions 36 to 963 of the family's 3401-position model. The record is from RNAcentral. Lineage: Eukaryota; Fungi; Ascomycota; Pichiomycetes; Serinales; Debaryomycetaceae.
UAGCAUAUCAAUAAGCGGAGGAAAAGAAACCAACAGGGAUUGCCUUAGUAACGGCGAGUGAAGCGGCAAAAGCUCAAAUUUGAAAUCUGGCACCUUCGGUGUCCGAGUUGUAAUUUGAAGAAGGUAACUUUGGAGUUGGCUCUUGUCUAUGUUCCUUGGAACAGGACGUCACAGAGGGUGAGAAUCCCGUGCGAUGAGAUGCCCAAUUCUAUGUAAAGUGCUUUCGAAGAGUCGAGUUGUUUGGGAAUGCAGCUCUAAGUGGGUGGUAAAUUCCAUCUAAAGCUAAAUAUUGGCGAGAGACCGAUAGCGAACAAGUACAGUGAUGGAAAGAUGAAAAGAACUUUGAAAAGAGAGUGAAAAAGUACGUGAAAUUGUUGAAAGGGAAGGGCUUGAGAUCAGACUUGGUAUUUUGCGAUCCUUUCCUUCUUGGUUGGGUUCCUCGCAGCUUACUGGGCCAGCAUCGGUUUGGAUGGUAGGAUAAUGACUAAGGAAUGUGGCUCUACUUCGGUGGAGUGUUAUAGCCUUGGUUGAUACUGCCUGUCUAGACCGAGGACUGCGUCUUUUGACUAGGAUGUUGGCAUAAUGAUCUUAAGCCACCCGUCUUGAAACACGGACCAAGGAGUCUAACGUCUAUGCGAGUGUUUGGGUGUAAAACCCGUACGCGUAAUGAAAGUGAACGUAGGUGAGAGCUCUUAAGAGUGCAUCAUCGACCGAUCCUGAUGUCUUCGGAUGGAUUUGAGUAAGAGCAUAGCUGUUGGGACCCGAAAGAUGGUGAACUAUGCCUGAAUAGGGUGAAGCCAGAGGAAACUCUGGUGGAGGCUCGUAGCGGUUCUGACGUGCAAAUCGAUCGUCGAAUUUGGGUAUAGGGGCGAAAGACUAAUCGAACCAUCUAGUAGCUGGUUCCUGCGA